Molecule: ribosomal RNA, 400 nt
Filed under: uncultured bacterium
Lineage: Bacteria
Description: bacterial SSU rRNA
Rfam family: Bacterial small subunit ribosomal RNA
Source: RNAcentral
UGGGGAAUAUUGGACAAUGGGGGCAACCCUGAUCCAGCAAUGCCGCGUGAGUGAAGAAGGCCUUCGGGUUGUAAAGCUCUUUUACCUACGACGAUAAUGACGGUAGUAGGGGAAUAAGCCCCGGCUAACUUCGUGCCAGCAGCCGCGGUAAUACGAAGGGGGCUAGCGUUGUUCGGAAUUACUGGGCGUAAAGGGCGCGUAGGCGGCCCUAUAAGUCUGAUGUGAAAGACCUGGGCUCAACCUGGGAACUGCAUUGGAAACUAUAGGGCUAGAGGGUGUGAGAGGAAAGUGGAAUGACGAGUGUAGAGGUGAAAUUCGUAGAUAUUCGUUAGAACACCAGAGGCGAAGGCGGCUUUCUGGCACACUACUGACGCUAAGGCGCGAAAGCGUGGGGAGCAAA